GUGUCAGCCGCCGCGGUAAUACGUAGGGUCCGAGCGUUAAUCGGAAUUACUGGGCGUAAAGCGUGCGCAGGCGGUUUGCUAAGACAGGUGUGAAAUCCCCGGGCUUAACCUGGGAACUGCGCUUGUAACUAGCAGGCUAGAGUGCGGCAGAGGGGGGUGGAAUUCCACGUGUAGCAGUGAAAUGCGUAGAGAUGUGGAGGAACACCGAUGGCGAAGGCAGCCCCCUGGGCUAGCACUGACGCUCAUGCACAAAAGCGUGGGGAGCAAACAGGAUUAGAAACCCCUGUAGUCC
RNAcentral lists this ribosomal RNA (292 nucleotides) under uncultured bacterium. RNAcentral describes it as "partial 16S ribosomal RNA". It matches the Rfam family "Bacterial small subunit ribosomal RNA", at positions 505 to 796 of the family's 1533-position model. The record is from RNAcentral.